RNAcentral lists this unclassified non-coding RNA (223 nucleotides) under uncultured fungus. RNAcentral describes it as "partial internal transcribed spacer 2". The record is from RNAcentral. Lineage: Eukaryota; Fungi.
ACUACCCUCAACCAAGUUCCCUAUGUACAUAGGGGAUGCCGGUUGGAUCUGGCCGUUCGGUUUGCCUUUCAGGUUGCCGGUCAGCUGAAAUAUAUUCACGCUCUGGGAGCCGCUUUCCUUCCGAGGAGAGGCGAGUUCCGAUUUGGUAGGUGACCUUUGCCGGUUACAUGCCUUCGUUGCCCGCUAAGCUUCCCAGUAUGCGUUGUGCAGGACGCCUUUUGGC